Molecule: ribosomal RNA, 480 nt
Filed under: uncultured bacterium
Lineage: Bacteria
Description: partial 16S ribosomal RNA
Rfam family: Bacterial small subunit ribosomal RNA
Source: RNAcentral
GACGAACGCUGGCGGCGUGCUUAACACAUGCAAGUCGAACGAUGAAGAAAAGAAUUGAAGCUUCGGCAGAAAUUCAUUUCGGAUUAGUGGCAGACGGGUGAGUAACGCGUGAGCAACCUACCUCUUACAAAGGGAUAGCCUCGGGAAACCGGGAUUAAUACCAUAUAACAUUGCGACGAAGCAUUUCGAUGCAAUCAAAGCUACGGCGGUAAGAGAUGGGCUCGCGUCCCAUUAACCAGAUGGUGAGGUAACGGCUCACCAUAGUAACGAUGGGUAACCGGCCUGAGAGGGUAAACGGUCACACUGGAACUGAGACACGGUCCAGACUCCUACGGGAGGCAGCAGUGGGGAAUAUUGCACAAUGGAGGGAACUCUGAUGCAGCGACGCCGCGUGAGUGAUGAAGGAAUUCGUUUCGUAAAACUCUGUUCUAUGGGAAGAAAAGGACUGUACCAUAGGAGAAAGCUCCGGCUAAAUACGUG